RNAcentral lists this unclassified non-coding RNA (315 nucleotides) under plant metagenome. RNAcentral describes it as "partial contains 5.8S ribosomal RNA, internal transcribed spacer 2, and large subunit ribosomal RNA". The stretch from base 1 to 105 matches the Rfam family "5.8S ribosomal RNA", at positions 50 to 154 of the family's 154-position model. The record is from RNAcentral.
GAACUGCGAUAAGUAAUGUGAAUUGCAGAAUUCAGUGAAUCAUCGAGUCUUUGAACGCACAUUGCGCCCCCUGGCAUUCCGGGGGGCAUGCCUGUCCGAGCGUCAUUGCUGCCCUUCAAGCCCGCCUUGUGUGUUGGGUCGUCGUCCCCUCCGGGGGACGGGCCCGAAAGGCAGCGGCGGCACCGCGUCCGGUCCUCGAGCGUAUGGGGCUUUGUCACCCGCUCGAUAAGGACCGGCCGGGCGCCAGCCGGCGUCUCCAACCUUUUUUUCUCAGGUUGACCUCGGAUCAGGUAGGGAUACCCGCUGAACUUAAGC